Molecule: ribosomal RNA, 794 nt
Filed under: uncultured bacterium
Lineage: Bacteria
Description: bacterial SSU rRNA
Rfam family: Bacterial small subunit ribosomal RNA
Source: RNAcentral
AGAGUUUGAUCAUGGCUCAGGACGAACGCUGGCGGCGUGCUUAACACAUGCAAGUCAAGGGGAAAGCCUGCUUCGGUGGGUGAGUAUACUGGCGGACGGGUGAGUAACGCGUAGGCAACCUGGCCUUAUGUUCGGGAUAACUCUGCGAAAGCGGGGCUAAUACCGGAUGUGGUCAACCGGUCGCCUGACCGGUUGAUUAAAGCUGCUUUUUCGGAGGUAGCCAUAGGGAUGGGCCUGCGUCCCAUUAGCUAGUUGGUAAGGUAACGGCUUACCAAGGCGACGAUGGGUAGCUGGCGUGAGAGCGUGAUCAGCCACACUGGGACUGAGAUACGGCCCAGACUCCUACGGGAGGCAGCAGUGGGGAAUAUUGCGCAAUGCCCGCAAGGGUGACGCAGCGACGCCGCGUGGGGGACGGAGCUCUAAGGAGUGUAAACCCCUGUCAGAGGGGAAGAACGGCCAUAUUUCGUAAGGGAUGUGGUGUGACGGUACCCUCAGAGGAAGCUCCGGCUAACUCCGUGCCAGCAGCCGCGGUAAUACGGGGGGAGCAAGCGUUGUCCGGAAUCACUGGGCGUAAAGGGCGUGUAGGCGGGCAGACAAGUCAGAUGUAAAAGGUUACGGCUUAACCGUGAUUGGUCAUCUGAAACUGUUUGUCUUGAGUGCGAGAGAGGGGUGGUGGAAUUCCCGGUGUAGCGGUGAAAUGCGUAGAUAUCGGGAAGAACACCGGAGGCGAAGGCGGCCACCUGGCUCGUUACUGACGCUGAGGCGCGAAAGCGUGGGGAGCAAACAGGAUUAGA